This is a long non-coding RNA of Helianthus annuus (common sunflower), 475 nucleotides long. RefSeq lists it as uncharacterized. The transcript is spliced from 2 exons. The record is from RefSeq and is a predicted model, not a curated record. NCBI's taxonomy places the organism in Eukaryota, Viridiplantae, Streptophyta, Magnoliopsida, Asterales, Asteraceae.
CUAAAGCCUAAUGCCUAUUUUCGGUUGAUAACCACCAACUACCAUUCUCAUUAAAUUCUGUCACACCCUUCUUUAUACCCUUAUUUAUCCUUUGCUUCUCUUUUAUGUUACAAGAAAGUUAGAUCCAAACUGGCAAAACAAUGUCUGAAGCACCAAAAACACAACAAAUGUCAUACAAUGAUACCCAUCAUCGUAUCCAACAUCGUCGGGAGGAACGCGGUUGUCUAUAUGCAUGCUUCUUCACAAUGUUCUGCUGUUGUUGCUGCCCCAAGAAAUGUGAAGGGUGUUUGGAUGGUGAUUGUUGCUGUUGCAAUUAGUUACACAUAUAAGUCUAUAAGUAUAUAACUGAGCUGGGGCUAGCUGUGUGCAUUUUUUUUUACUUAAUAAUUUUUGUUUCUUUCUAUUUGCAAACACCAAUCUUUUGCAUCUAAUAUUAUUUGUUGUGAAUUUUAAUUAAGUUAUUGCCCUUAUUCUA